This 480-nucleotide ribosomal RNA is filed under the name uncultured bacterium. RNAcentral's name for it is "bacterial SSU rRNA". It matches the Rfam family "Bacterial small subunit ribosomal RNA", at positions 30 to 506 of the family's 1533-position model. The record is from RNAcentral.
UUGAACGCUGGCGGCAUGCCUUACACAUGCAAGUCGAACGGUAACGCGGGGCAACCUGGCGACGAGUGGCGAACGGGUGAGUAACAUAUCGGAACGUGCCCAGUAGUGGGGGAUAGCCCGGCGAAAGCCGGAUUAAUACCGCAUACGACCUACGGGUGAAAGGGGGGGAUCGCAAGGCCUCUCGCUAUUGGAGCGGCCGAUAUCAGAUUAGGUAGUUGGUGGGGUAAAGGCCCACCAAGCCGACGAUCUGUAGCUGGUCUGAGAGGACGACCAGCCACACUGGGACUGAGACACGGCCCAGACUCCUACGGGAGGCAGCAGUGGGGAAUUUUGGACAAUGGGCGAAAGCCUGAUCCAGCCAUGCCGCGUGCAGGAUGAAGGCCUUCGGGUUGUAAACUGCUUUUGUACGGAACGAAAAAGUCUUCUCUAAUACAGGGGGCGAAUGACGGUACCGUAAGAAUAAGCACCGGCUAACUACGU